This 143-nucleotide non-coding RNA is filed under the name Providencia sneebia. RNAcentral's name for it is "MoCo sequence". It matches the Rfam family "Molybdenum/Tungsten riboswitch aptamer (Moco RNA motif)". RNAcentral also lists the same sequence under 1 other name. The record is from RNAcentral. Lineage: Bacteria; Pseudomonadati; Pseudomonadota; Gammaproteobacteria; Enterobacterales; Morganellaceae.
ACUUUCAUAAAACUCCUAGCCUUAGCAUCUAAGUUCAUUAUAAAUGGAUAUGAUCCUUUGGCCGUGGCCUUAGAGCCACCAGGGUGCGAGAUAGAAAUGUCUGCAUCUCCCGUAUUUGGAAAGGUGUCAUUAUGCAGCAGCUU